GUGCGCAGAAGGGUCUGGGCUCGAGCCUGCCUGGAGCCGCCGCCGGUGCAGAUCUUGGUGGUAGUAGCAAAUACUCCAGCGAGGCCCUGGAGGACUGAUGUGGAGAAGGGUUUCGUGUGAACAGCCGUUGCACACGAGUCAGUCGAUCCUAAGCCCUAGGAGAAAUCCGACGCCUACGGCGACGGGAUUUUUGAAAAUUUUAAUAACCCGUUGAUCGGGCGAAAGGGAAUCCGGUUCCUAUUCCGGAACCCGGCAGCGGAACCGCUGUUUGUCGGGCCCUCACAAGGGGUUCGUCAGGGUAACCUAAAAGGGCCCGGAGACGCCGUCGGGAGCCCCGGAAAGAGUUUUCUUUUCUGCAUGAGCGUUCGAGUUCCCUGGAAUCCUCUCGCAGGGAGAUAGGGUUUGGAACGCGAAGAGCACCGCAGUUGCGGCGGUGCCCGGGAAUUCCCGACGGACCUUGAAAAUCCGGGAGAGGGCCACGUGGAGGUGUCGCGCCGGCUCGUACCCAUAUCCGCAGCAGGUCUCCAAGGUGAAGAGCCUCUAGUCGAUAGAAUAAUGUAGGUAAGGGAAGUCGGCAAAUCGG
This 583-nucleotide ribosomal RNA is filed under the name Ischnura elegans. RNAcentral's name for it is "partial large subunit ribosomal RNA". It matches the Rfam family "Eukaryotic large subunit ribosomal RNA", at positions 1399 to 1925 of the family's 3401-position model. The record is from RNAcentral. Lineage: Eukaryota; Metazoa; Arthropoda; Insecta; Odonata; Coenagrionidae.